This 411-nucleotide ribosomal RNA is filed under the name uncultured Desulfobulbus sp. RNAcentral's name for it is "bacterial SSU rRNA". It matches the Rfam family "Bacterial small subunit ribosomal RNA", at positions 973 to 1382 of the family's 1533-position model. The record is from RNAcentral. Lineage: Bacteria; Pseudomonadati; Thermodesulfobacteriota; Desulfobulbia; Desulfobulbales; Desulfobulbaceae.
ACCUGGUCUUGACAUCCGAGACCCUUAGGAAACUAGGGGUGCUUCCAUCUGGAAGAAUCUGGAGACAGGUGCUGCAUGGCUGUCGUCAGCUCGUGUCGUGAGAUGUUGGGUUAAGUCCCGCAACGAGCGCAACCCUGCCUUUAGUUGCCAGCAGUUCGGCUGGGCACUCUAAAGGGACUGCCGGUGUUAAACCGGAGGAAGGUGGGGAUGACGUCAAGUCCUCAUGGCCUUUAUGACCAGGGCUACACACGUACUACAAUGGCCGAUACAAAGGGCAGCGACACUGCGAGGUGAAGCCAAUCCCGUAAAAUCGGUCUCAGUCCGGAUUGGAGUCUGCAACUCGACUCCAUGAAGUUGGAAUCGCUAGUAAUCGUGGAUCAGCAUGCCACGGUGAAUACGUUCCCGGGCCUU